Parus major (Great Tit) is the source of this 11905-nucleotide RNA transcript. It is a transcript of the gene named shieldin complex subunit 2, with no coding region annotated. The record is from RefSeq and is a predicted model, not a curated record. NCBI's taxonomy places the organism in Eukaryota, Metazoa, Chordata, Aves, Passeriformes, Paridae. The transcript is spliced from 9 exons.
UAACUAAUAACUUCCUUGAGAGCUGGUAAAAUAAGACUUGUUUGCUAUAUGGAGAAAGAAUCGACGAAGUAAUAUCAUAAUGUAUUAAGGAAUUAAAAACUACACAGUAUGAUUGCACAGUUCUUAAUUUGUGUGUUUUUUCCCUCUUCUAUAUUUGCCUUUUUUAAAUGAGGAAUGCAACUUAAAUGGACGUUGUUUUGGAUGUUUUUCUUCUCAGCUUCAUUAAAUCAAAUUCUUACACUUGCUCAUUUUGUGAAACUUUCCAUCCAUACCCAUAACUUAUUAAUUUUUUUCACACUGUGAUCAGACUGUUCAGUUUUCUGCAUGGUUUUUGUGUUGGUAGCUGAACUUCAUAAUACAUUGUUUAUAUAUUGUAAUGUCAUAGAGUUCCUGUUGACAGAAGAAUAUUAAUAUUUUGAUUCUCACUUGUCUCUGAAUACCUUGUAUUUACUGAAUGAAUGACUAUAUUUUUGAAAAGAGGCCUUCAGUUAUAUUUUAAUCUGGUUUCCUUCAUAUAAACUAAAUCUUCAUUUGCUAAUUUUUAGAUUUGUGCUGAAAAGUCUUGAUUUCAUUUUAUGUCUUUUAUUUAGCUCAAAUUUUUCUUCUGCUCCAGUGUUUCACAACACUUAACGUGAAAUGUUGCCAUACCUCACUUAAUGUUGUUUUAUGAGCACACUCCUAAAGUGACACCUAUUUAGAUGGUAUGUUAGUUUUACCUGCAAGAUACUGUUUUUAUAUAAAAUGUAAUGUUAACAUAGUUAACAUAGUUCUUGCAAUGCAAUGUCAGGUAACCCAGAAGAUUAGCCAAGACAGAACAAACUGUACUGCUUUUUGAAUUCCUGUCUCUCUGGUCUGUUGUAAAGGUUACUAAUCUCCAGAGAAAGAUAAUGGGUCACAUGUUUAGUGUAAUAGCUUUUUGGGUUUUCUGCUUUAUCUGCUAAUUUUAAAAUCUUUCAAAGUAAGCUCAUAUAAACAGAUUUUAAUGUGAAAUUUAUUGGAAGGGAAACCAAUAUGUAUUUACUCAUUUCCUGUCAUAUGCUCAGUACAACAGUAGCUGUUUAUUUAUAUUCGUGUGCUUCCCUAAGAAAGCAAGUUAAACCUGGAGUUAUUCGAAUCAUUAGCUGGAUACAUAAGAUACUUUGAUAUGGAAUAGAGUGCAAAUUUCUUGUGUUUCUUCACCUCUAAUUUUCCUCUUUCAUGUUUUUACAGAAUGUAAAAUUCCAUGUGUGUGUGUGGCACUAAAGCACCACAAGUCACACAGGGCAGUAGCUGUCUUUCUGUAAAUGAUGUCUCUUGACAUGGAAUAAGGGUGGGUUACAAAACACUCUUCAGAGUUACUUUAGUACCAAACUCAUUUGUGUGUUGGGGCAUUAAAAAGAACUCUUGUUAAAAAGAUAGAUUUAUAACACUGGCACUGCUGCUUCUGUUCUAUGUGAAAACUUCCUGCUAAUGUUUUAUAAAAUAUGUUUUGAAGUCUCUUGUGAUUUUAGCUUUGUAUAGCACCUCACAAGAUUUAUGGAUAAAGAAAACGCUAAUAUUCCAGUAGCCAAUAUUGGCCUUUUGUAUAUCAGUUCUGUUGUUUCUAUUCUAGUGAAAAUCAAGUAUAGAACUUGCAACUCCUGGUAGACUGAAAAAAAAUUGCAUUUGCAGACAGGAUUACAGCUCCAAAACAAGGUGUUAAACUAUGAGGUGACCAUUUCUUUAAUCUCUACUCUCUCUGCAUUAUAUUGCAGAAAGAAACAAUUUAUAGCAAUUUUACUUCAGAUUGGAGAAGCUUCUGCACGAAGACAAAUUAAUAAAUAGAUAAGUCUCUUUAGUUUCCAUCCUUAUCUCUUAAUACUUCAGGAGUUUUGGAAGUUCACUUAAAAUUUCAGGGGCAGAACUAUGCAGUACUGCACGUAAUAAAAACAUUUAUGAAAGUUACUGAAUCAAAGGCAGCUGAGUGAAGGUGCACAGCAAUAAUAGCACUGUACAGAUAGUAAUUGAGAUAUUGUCUUGAACAAAAACAGUGAUGAAAAUUAUGUGCUUUGACUGAGAACAAAGGUACAAGAAGGUUUUUAUCAGUGGUUAUGCUGGUAUGCCCUGCUGUUCCACACACUAUGACUUGGAACAGUAGAGGGAGAUCCAGGAUGACUUGUUACAUCAUACCUUGAGUUUUUUGAUUUUGCUUGAGGUGUUUUCAGACAGCUGAAUUACCGUGGAAAAGGGUACAGGCCAAAUCAGUGUUUCUGGCAUUUAAUUAGUAUACUUCAUGCACAUUUUGUUCGAUUGUGAUUAUUUCCUUUAACUUUCUGGAGCACAGUAGGAUAGAAAUUUUGAUCUACAAUUUUUUGAAGUAUAAUUAGUCAAAUUAUUUUUAAUAAAUAGUCAAAGUGCAUUGCUGCCCUAAAGUCUGAGAGAGAAGCUACCCUUUUGAAAUAAGGAAAUUUGCAUCUAAAAGACACCUUUGGCUCAGUCAGCUCUGUUGAUAGUUACUCAGUGUUACCUGUUCCCCUGUUAAAGCUUAACCAGUUUGCUAAACUAACAUUCAUCUAAACCAUUGAAAUGUAAAGGCUUAUAUAUUAAAAAAUGAAUGCUAAUUCUCCUUAUUUACCAUAUCUUAAUUUUUUCCUAGGUAAAUGCCAAAAAGAUUUGAAAACUUUGUUUCUGUUUCCAGAAGAUUCACUGUAGUUCUCACUCACUUAAAAUUAUCUGAUUUUUUUUUUGUCUUGGUUUACUGCAAUGCCCUUGUAAAUUAACAACUUUACUACUUAGCUGGAAUAGCCAUGAAGGAGUGUUUGGCGUUCAUACAGUUCUGCAAAGAAUUUGGUAGGUGUGUUCCUUCUGUGGCCACAACAAGGAGCAGGUGUGGGCAGUGAACCAUCAGUGAUCUUUGUAAUGCUGUUCAUCAGUGUACAGAGACAGUUUGGCCCAAGUCUGAAGGUUAUGUUUCCUUAAGGGAGCUUUAGAUCUUAAAAAAUCUUAAACCUCUUGACUUAUAGAUUGAAGAGAAAAUCCUUUUCACUUACAGCUGAAGUGUGUUCUCGGGGUAUGUGCAAAAGGGAAACAUUAAAAUAUUCUUGAAAAUCCAUUGCCUUUUCAAGAACUGAAAUUCUAGAUUUGGAUAUAAAAGUCAGUACUGUCAUGUAGUUAGCAUCUGUCAAGUGUUUUGUUUAAAUUACAAUGCUCACAUCCAAAGCAUGUGUUUGAACUUUUCUUUUGAGACACUGGAUCUAUAAGUGUGUAAAGUCAGCUUUCAUCUUCCUGAGGUAUGAAAGUACUGAGGAGAUCAGCUAUUGAUUGGAUUGGAUUGCCAGCUCCUUUGAUCCUCACAGAAAUACACUAAUGAUACCACAUAAAGGAUGUAGCUGCACACUAGAGGAACAGAUAAAAUGUGCACAAUGUGGUUUGGGGUGGGGAGGGGAUAGAUAGAUCUGGUGCUAUAGGUUCAGUGCUGACAAGAAGUACUUGCUGCCAUUUAUGUUUGCAGGAAGGUUAAAUGUUUACUUUCCUGGAGGGGUCCUGUAAUAAAAAGUGAUGAAGUAAAUGAAGUCAUGAUUGAACUGUUGGUCUAAAGUGUCUUGUGGGCUCGUGUGCCACCUGGCUUCUCUGUAGCUCCUUGUGUAGCUUGUAGCUUUGAAGUAUAAAAGUACAUGACUUGAUCUAGUGAUGACUUGUGUGCUUCUUGGAGUGAGUGUCUGAUUUUUUCAGUUGGCAGACAGUGAACGUGCAUUGUUUAGUGAUGCUCACAAGUGAGAAGUAUCCCAUUUGUCAUAAAGGCAAGAGGAACUGCAGCUUCUGUUAAGGUCUAUUGCUAACAUAACCACUUGUGGUGGAGAGUGAAAGACAUUUUUCUGGCACUAGUAGAUUACUUACAUAGUAACAAAAUAAAGUAAAUUACUUUACAUGGUAGACUUAUGAAAUGCACCUUUUCAACACCCUGUCUCCCACAGUACAAAAGCAAAAGGACAGUCUUACCUAUGGCUGUUGUCCAAAACACUGACAAUAUCUCAAUUUUGGUUAUGAAUGUGCAGUCAGCAUCCAAGUUUUCAUUAUAAAACUUCAUCUUUUUUGAAUAAGGCUUUUGUAAAGAGAAAAUAAUAUUGUUGGCUUUGUAUUUUAAAUAUUUCUCAUAUAUUUAUCUUCUUGUCCUAAUAAGUCAAAUCUACCAGCAGUUAAUCUGAUGGAAGUCAGGCUAUUAUGAUGUUUCUUUGACCAGUUACUUUGCUUUCAUCUUAGGUCCUGUAUUGUUUUGUCCACCUCUGUUUAUCAGGUUUCAGUCCCAACAUAGAUUUUCAUUGGUUAUGAUACCUGUGGAAAAUUUUCUGCCAGCUAAAUAGUUUUUCUAAAAAAAGCCACAAUGAUGCUAUUCUAAUAUUGUGAGGUGUUUUAUAUGCUGAAAUAUAUGGAACAAUAUCUUUCUUGACAGACGGUAUAUCAGUUUAGUUGUUUAAAUAGUUCCCAAAAAUAAGGGUUUGGGAAAUGAAUGUUCUUCAACGAAACGUGCAUGGCACGUUUGUGUAUCUUUGACCUUUUACCUUUAUCUUUCUUUUCUACUCAAAAGGUCAGUGUUCUCUAGAACUUUUAACUUCUUUUGUUUGUAGCAGCCACUGGAUGCUCAUAUCUCCUUAAUUAUAUGUUUUUGUGUGUUGCAAAACUAAAAUCAAUAAAUAGCAUUUACUUAAGGGGCCAUCUCGAAAGGCACAAAGGCAGUGAGGAAAGAAUUAUCAAGGUAGUCACAAAAGCCCACUACCUUUACUCCAAUUUUCAAACACUAUGAAGACUCUCUGAGUGGCUGAAUCAAAAGUGUAUUAUAAGUGUUCAGAUUUUUGCAUCACUUGGUUCCAAAAAAUAGUAAUGGUAAAAUAAAAUGGCUGAUGCAACUGCUCAGUAGAUGUCUUUAUAUGAUCCAAGCUUGUAUUUAGAGAAGAAAUAUAUUUGUUUCACAUCCAGGGAAAUAUUGUCCUUCUAGAGCACAACUUUAGUAACCACAGGCCCUGAUCCUGCAGGCAAGUAGAUACACAUUAAAUAUUAGCAAUAGCAAUGCCAUUUGAUUGCUUGCCUUCUUUUUGUAUAUUAAUAUUUCAGUAAUAGUUAUGAAGAGCAACUUGCCUCUUCUUACUCAGUAGUUUGAUUUAACAUUUUUUUAUGGUGUCAGGCUGUAGAACUGCUUAGAACAUUGAUUUCUUGUUUAAAUUAUUUCCCUGCUGCUGCAGUAGUAUUUAGGAAGGUUUCUAUUGUGAUGCCUAAACCAUAGGUGUUCCAUAUGCUAAAAAUCAUCUUGUUACUGAAAUUGCUCCAAAUAAGGAAAAAAAUUGGGUACCUCAUGUUUUCUGGCUAUGUAUUGCUGAAUACAGGUUUUAUGUACUUGUAAACCACCUGUACCUGUCUUGAGUCCAAAUGGUGUUGUAGCCCUCUGGUAACAGCCAGUGAGAAAAACUAAAUACUGAAUGGAUUAGUAUUGUUGCUUUUAACUUCAUUAGUAAGUAUUAAUAGAAAUUAUUUUAUGGUCAAUAAUAGCCUAAGUACCUCAUUUAGAAAUAACUUUAUACUAAUUACAGAUACUGCUGUAGGCAAAUGAAGACUUGUGAUUUUCAUCAAUUUUGAUAUGAAGUAGCAGGAUUCUUGCUAUACCACAGGUCUGGCUGACAGCAGCCUCUGUGCACAGUAUUCCAUGUGCUAACAUGGUGUAACUUACGUGAACCAAACAACCAUCAUGGUGUAAAAUUGCAUGGGGUUAUACAGGACUACAGUCUUUGCCUGAAACCUUGUAUUGAAAUUCAGAUAAAAGGUAUUUGGUGAUUAUAACAAUCACCAAACAAGGGCUGACAGAAAUAAAACCUAUCCUAUCCAUUUCCCCAGUUGCCCAUUGUACAUGUAUGUUCUCCCCACAUCUGUGUUCCCUUGGCUUCUUGUUAGGUCCCACCAGCCUUGGCCAAUGGAAUAUACAUAAAUCUCCCUGAGCUGCCAUUCAUGUACAUGUUUAAUCUUCUUUUAAGCCCACAUGAUACAUCCCUCACUCUUAUGUAGAGUAAGUUUGCUUCAGCUACAAGUUGCUUAGCUUGAUUUCUUCUGUCAAUUUUUAUUUUCCAUUGUGUUCCUCUUAAUCUGUUUGGACCCAGCUUACUGAUUUAGUAGAUAGGUGCUGUCGCUGGUAUAUUGAUUCACUUGCAGUGCCAGCAGGAGUUGUUGGCAGAAGGAUCACCUUUCUUUUUCUUGCACAAGUUGCAAGCAAAAGUGUAGUGCAUUCAUCACUUCAUCCCAGAAUUGUUUCAGUUUCUAAGUGUAUGAAACUGUUACUACACUGUUUGCUGUUUUUUCUCUUUCAUUUACUGUGCAGCUGCAGUACCUGAUUUUUUAAAAAGAUCAUGUUGAUUUUUGGAGGGAGAUUUGAGCAGCUUGGUGGAAGUGCCAGGAGAGUUUCUGGUUUUCCCUUUGUUGGCAACUGUCUUCGUAGAUUUUCUACUCCACAGCCUCAUAGGUUGAGUUGUUGAAUAAAGAAAAGCCCAGCCAAACAACCCUACAGCUUGAAUUGAACUGAAACGAAAUACUCCAAAGAUGGCUAUGAAUAAUUCAGUUUCCUCUGUUGUAAGGUAGAUGAAUUAAUCCUUUAAUAUUUUAUACUACAUGUAGGAGGAGUAUAAAGUCAAGUAUGCGAAUAAGGGAGGGCAAAGUUCACAAUAGAAGCUAAAAUUUAGAAUUUAAGGAAUAUCCUACUUUAUGCAUUUAUUACUUACUGGGCCAGCUUUUCAGCAGGUAAAUGACAAUAUAAUGUUUUCUUGCAUAUUUUAGGGAUCAGUUCGUUAACCACUUACCACUUAGGAUGCUCAUCAUCAAGCUGCAGCAAAUCAAAGUAGGAAGUUAAAAGAAUUCACUGUUUAUUUCCUAAAACUUUAGUGUUUCUAGAGGGGAAGGUACACUUUUGCAUUCUAUUGCUAUAGUCCUUUUUCUUCUGAUGCAUUGCUGUCUUUUAUUUCUGUAAUUCUAUUUGUAGCUUGAAACUUUGUAGUGUGUAACAGACAAAGAAACUUUUAACUGGAGGUCGAAUUAGUGUGAUUUACUUUUAGUGUAGACUGCUUAAGUAAAGACUUGAUGAGACUAUUUGGAUGUAUCUUCUCAAAACAGAGAUUUAGACAUGUGGCUGCCAUGAAUAUUCAGCAAUGAUAGGAAGCUGAAGUUGUGUCACCCUCUUAAAUUACCUUGGCGUAAUGCUUAAUGAUUAUCAUGGUGAGUGAAUACUAUUAAUGAAUAUAAAAAUAUGGAAUAAAGUUGAUGAAUAUUUCUAGGGUAUUUUAGGGGUACUUUAAGGUCAUGUAUGUAGCAUCAGAACAUUUUAAAAGUAACCAUGGGAAGAGGAUUUUUAAAGCUAUUUUUAGUUUUGUUCUGUGUGCUGCAGAACACUAAUUGCCAGUCUGUUAAAUGACAGUUUGUUUUAAAAAACUUUAAAUUUAGAAUUCCUGUCUUUCUGUUUGGAUUGGAGGAAAUACCCUAAAAUACUGUUUAAAUUGGAGGAAAUACACUAUAUACAACUAUCAGUUGCAAUGUCUUGCAAAUGUAAAACUUGCUGAUGUAGUUACCGUUUUUUAAUAGAUCAUUGACCCAUCAAUCAGACUCUGACCAUUUCAGAGAUAAAGAGCUUGGCUUUCAUUGGCUUUUAGGAAAAGAACAGCUUUCCACAAAUUAGGAAAUGGUGUAAUAAUUAACAGGUAUAAUGGAUAUGUGCAUUCAGGUUUCAGUUGUAUCUUUGAGUUUUAGCUCCUGUUAUCCUUGGUAUAGUUAGUUAACCCACUGUCUGCCCAUAGAUAACUGUAGUAUAAAAUGGAUUAUUUUUGUGGAAGUAGAAUUUACUAAAAUGAUUGAUAGCUUUUUUGCUCACCUUUUAAAAUCUGUAGUGAAUUGUUCUUUCAGAUUUUCAUUUAUAACAAGGUGCAGAACUUCACUAACAAAACUCAUCGAGUAAUAAUUCUGUUCUAAAGCAGCAAAGGUUCUUUAAAUAGUUUUGUGUACAGAGAAUUUAUGUAAACUCUAAUUUUUUUUUUUUUCUGAAUUACAGACUUAAAUGAUUUUAGGUACUGGUCAUUCCUCAUACAGGAAGGAGUUUGACAUCUCUGACUCAAAAAGUCACUUAGAAAUUGGCAAAGUAGGUCAUUUAGUAGUGGACCUAUUGCACGAAUCAGUUGGCAGACAUCACUUACCAUUCCUAAGCUGGGUUUGCUCUCGAUUUUUUUCUGGUAUUCUCUACAUCUGCAGAAUUGCCUAUUGAACCAACUUCUAUUAACAACAAAAGUAAAAACUACUCCUAAAACAAGUAGCUGUAAUCACCAUUUUAAAGAACAGUUAUAGCUGUUUCUUCAUAUUUUAAAAUUAUAAUUAUACAGCAGAAAUUCUUAAAAAUGAAAGAUCUUUUGGUGUGCUGUGUAGGUGGGGUUAUUUUUAAUUAGCUAGAAAAGCUAGUAAUUUCUUGAGUAGUUUGCUGUUACAUAAAUGAAUUAAAGCAAAUGCUAAAUCACCUGCUCAAGCUUUACUGACCUCUUAGCGAUUAUUAAAUAAUUAUAAUUGAUCAUUAAUAGCCUGAAACAGUAGUUUCAUGCUAAAACAGCAUGUAAAAUACUGUAUUUCUAGCAAACUUUAAUUUUAAAUAGCUCUAGUGUUUUAAUCAUUUAGUUGAAACUGUAAUUUUCUGGGAGAUGAAAUGAUCUCCUAACCAUGCUGUGAAGAUUUUCUUACAUCUGUUUCAGAUGAGUCAAAAUCAAGUACUGAAUAGUGAAGUCACAUUUGACUGUUAAAUUAGCAAUUAUAAAUAAAGACAAAUAGGUCAAUAAUUUUAACUUCACUAUAAUGUGUUUCCGUGUGUCAGAAUCAGAAACUAGGUGUUGCUGUAAUUUUAUUUUUCUAUGCAGGUUUGACACAAAUAAAUGUUAAAUAUCUCUAAAAUAAAUUCCCCUUUUUAGAUUUUGUAUGUCUAAUUUUAUAGGGUUUAAAUAGUCAAGUAGUGUUUUUCCCAGUUAAACUAUUAAAUACUCCCUAAACUAUGAAUUUUAAGCAUUUUUAAAAUUGUAAAGGAAAAAGUAAUUUUUUAUUUUUUUUUUGCAUUUGCUAGUAUUUAUUAUUGUGCUUAUUGCAUAAGCCACGUUAUUUUAAGUUAAACUCACACAGCAGUCAAAAAUGUCCAAAAGAUCUCAGAUUCAUAUUUUUGUGGGAGCACCCAGUAUUCCGAGCCUGCUGGAGGGGUUAGAGCAGAGCAGUUCAGCCCCUGCUGGUGAGAAAUGGCGAGAACUGCACUGUUUGUGUGAUACACGUGGGUUUGUUUCUGCAAAGGUCCAGGCUGCUGCUGCCCCCUCGGUGCCCCAGGCAGAGAGCUCCACACUCACAGGAGUCCCUGCAAGUGGGGACAGCGCUCAGCAGGGCAGGUUCAUGCCAAAAGAAGGAAAGGAUUUGACAUCUCCUGCCCCUAUGGCAGUAACUUGUACCAGCACAUUUAAAAAGAGCACAAGUUUAACUUGCUCUGAUUGUCAAGUAUCCAAAGAUAGAUGCACACCUGCAGGUGUAAGUCAGGCUGCAGGGGAGCACCUGCCCCAGAGCUGUGCAGAAUCACCUGGGCAAGGGAAGCCAUCACGUGCCUGCUGCCCAGACCUCACUGAGAGAAAAGCCAGUCCUUUGGAAGUUAACUGCUCUGAUGUUCCUGCUUUGGUUGCCAGUACUGAGCAGGUCAGCAUCCAUCUACAGUCCUUGGGACUUCAGGCAGGUCACAGAAGUGAGCAUCAUGAACGUCCAAGUCAAUAUAUAGAUAUGUGUUUCCAAGGAAGUCUGGAGUCCAAACCAAAAGAACAGAAUGACUGUGCAGACUCUGCAGUGUCAGCAGACACUGAAUUUCGUAGUGUAGUGACUUUGAGUCAGGUGGCUGUUUUUGCACAGAAUGAAAUGCAGGAAAGAAUUGUAAAACUGUCAGAAAUAGAAGCAGGUAAAAAAGCUGAACGACAGUAUAAUCACUUCCAAUGUGAUUCUGGUUUUGGAACAUGUACUACUAAUGUGACCGAAAAUGAAUAUAAGGAGGAGGAUGCAAGUUCUCUUGAACUUUUCAGUUCCGAGGAUGAUGGGGAAAAUGUUUGGAUUAAAGCUACAAAACAGGAAGAAAGUGCUCAGGAAAAUGCAGAAAAGUUUCAAGAACUUAAUGUUCCUGCUGAGCAAUUUGUAAAUGAAAUCCAUAUUGAGCCAUUGAGUUCUGGAAUACUGUGCUCUCAAGGGAACUGUUCUCAAAAGAACUCCUCUAAAAGACCCCACAAGUAUGAAGAUUCCUUUCAUCUUUUUCACUCCACAUUUAAAAGACAGGUGAAAUCCAAGAGAGCUAAACUGAAUUCUUCUCCACCUGGUUCUGGGAUGAGAGUGGAUCCAGACAGGAUGACAGAGUUCAAGAAACUCCAGAAGAAACUAUCACUACUUAAGAAUUGCUGCAUCAAAAAUCAAAAGUACAAUAUUUUGGUCACAGUUGUACAUCCUUGUCAUAUCAAAGAAAUACAGAUGAAGACUAAACCAAAAUCUUCGUGUAAGGUUCCUGUAGCAACAGUUGUUGUUACUGACCAGUCAGAAACUGAGAAAAAGGUGGUGCUGUGGCGUGGUGCUGCAUUUUGGUCCCUCACUGUGUUUCCUGGGGAUAUCAUACUGCUUACAGAUGUAAUAAUGUAUGAGAAUCAUUGGUGCGGAGAGGUCAUGCUUCAGUCUACAUUUACCAGUCAGUUACUGAAUCUGGGGAACUGCUCAGCUCUCAAUCCAGAAGAAUUUUAUCCUCUAGUGGAUGGUGGUGUUCUCCUUGGCUUAUUGGCAUACAUCUCAUCAGAAUUUCCACACUUCAGAGACAUUCCACAACGACAAGUUCAGAGACUGGAUGAUGUUCAGUAUGUGCAGCUAGAUCAGCUCCAGCCAAAUACUUUGGUGCACUCAGUCCUGAAAAUUAUCAGUAUUUCUGUGUUAACAGAGUCUGUGUACAGCUACAGAGGUGGCAGCCAAAGAAAAGUUAUUCUAACAGUAGAACAGAACAGAGAUCAGCCCUAUAGGAUGGUUCUGUGGGGAGCAGGGGCUGCCUGGUGCCCCCAGCUUCAGAGGAAAAAAGACCACAUAUGGGACUUCAAAUACCUUCUGGUCCAACAUAGUUCUGUCUCAGGUGACUUGGAACUGCACACAACUCCCUGGUCAUCCUAUGAGUGCUUGUUUGAUGAUGACAAAAGGGCAGUUGAGUUUAAGGAAAAGUUUCAGAAAAGUCAAACAUCCCUCAUGGAGUUGACAAAGCUCUCGGCACACCUGGAAGAAAAAUGCUCAGGAGUGAUUCAAGUGAAAGCCCAUAUCUUGGAACUGCAAUUUACUAUUUCCACUGGUCAGUACAAGCAACUCAUCUUCUCUGCUGACACUUCACUGGAAUGUGUUUUGGCUUCUCUGCCUAUGAUUACAUAUACAGGUUGUGCCAAAUGUGGUUUGGAGCUACAGGCAGAUGAGAACAUGAUCUACAAGCAGUGUAUUAGAUGUUUGCCAUACAGCAAAGUAAAAACAUUCUACAGGAAUGAUGUUCACCCAGUACAGUGUCAGAUAAAGGGAAGAUGGAGUAGAAGCUUGAGGACCAAAGGAAAACUCCUUGAGAAUCUCAUUCCAGCCUAAAUCUGAAAUCAUUUGAAUGCAGAAGCAUGUUUUUAAACUGAUUUAGUAGUUACAGCUGUGCAGAAAUAAUACUGACAAAUGUUUUCAAUAACCUUUCUUGGAGAGCAGAGAUAGUGAGUUAUCACCAGAUGGCACUGCGAGACACAGAUAUUCACACUUAGGGAAGUUAAAUUAAGUGGAUCCAGUUGAUACCUGCUUUGAUGACAGUAGAAGAUGAAGGAUAUGAAAUUUAUGUUCAUGUGGUGUCUGAGUUACUGGAAAAAAUCUUCCUCAAUAUUCC